GUGCCAGCCGCCGCGGUAAUACCGGCAGCUCAAGUGAUGGCCGAUCUUAUUGGGCCUAAAGCGUCCGUAGCUGGCCGAACAAGUCCGUCGGGAAAUCCACGUGCUUAACACGUGGGGGACCGGCGGAAACUGUUCGGCUUGGAACCGGAAGGCUCAGAGAGUACGUCCGGGGUAGGAGUGAAAUCCCGUAAUCCCGGACGGACCACCGAUGGCGAAAGCACUCUGAGAAGACGGCUUCGACAGUGAGGGACGAAAGCUAGGGUCUCAAACCGGAUUAGAAACCCUGGUAGUCC
This 293-nucleotide ribosomal RNA is filed under the name uncultured bacterium. RNAcentral describes it as "partial 16S ribosomal RNA". It matches the Rfam family "Archaeal small subunit ribosomal RNA", at positions 455 to 747 of the family's 1478-position model. The record is from RNAcentral.